RNAcentral lists this ribosomal RNA (450 nucleotides) under uncultured bacterium. RNAcentral describes it as "partial 16S ribosomal RNA". It matches the Rfam family "Bacterial small subunit ribosomal RNA", at positions 354 to 796 of the family's 1533-position model. The record is from RNAcentral.
GUGGGGAAUAUUGGACAAUGGGCGAAAGCCUGAUCCAGCCAUGCCGCGUGUGUGAAGAAGGUCUUCGGAUUGUAAAGCACUUUAAGUUGGGAGGAAGGGCAGUAAGUUAAUACCUUGCUGUUUUGACGUUACCAACAGAAUAAGCACCGGCUAACUUCGUGCCAGCAGCCGCGGUAAUACGAAGGGUGCAAGCGUUAAUCGGAAUUACUGGGCGUAAAGCGCGCGUAGGUGGUUCAGCAAGUUGGAGGUGAAAUCCCCGGGCUCAACCUGGGAACUGCCUACAAAACUACUGAGCUAGAGUACGGUAGAGGGUAGUGGAAUUUCCUGUGUAGCGGUGAAAUGCGUAGAUAUAGGAAGGAACACCAGUGGCGAAGGCGACUACCUGGACUGAUACUGACACUGAGGUGCGAAAGCGUGGGGAGCAAACAGGAUUAGAAACCCGUGUAGUCC